AACACGUAAAACUGGCACACCCCAUGCAUUACAAAACCCGACAGAUCACAUAGCACUGCCUUCAACGUGGAGGGCGGUGUUUCCCGACAGAACGGGAAUGGACAAAGGCGUCCUCGCUGGGUAACCGGCGGGACGCC
Molecule: small RNA, 137 nt
Filed under: Azotobacter beijerinckii
Lineage: Bacteria; Pseudomonadati; Pseudomonadota; Gammaproteobacteria; Pseudomonadales; Pseudomonadaceae
Description: Pseudomonas sRNA P11
Rfam family: Pseudomonas sRNA P11
About the family: P11 is located between a putative threonine protein kinase and putative nitrate reductase and appears to be conserved in several Pseudomonas species. P11 has a predicted Rho independent terminator at the 3'end but the function of P11 is unknown.
Source: RNAcentral